CCUACGGGAGGCAGCAGUAAGGAAUAUUGGUCAAUGGACGCAAGUCUGAACCAGCCAUGCCGCGUGGAGGAUGAAGGUCCUCUGGAUUGUCAACUUCUUUUAUUUGGGAAGAAACUCCCGAUUUCCAUCGGGAUUGACGGUACCAGAUGAAUAAGCACCGGCUAACUCCGUGCCAGCAGCCGCGGUAAUACGGAGGGUGCAGGCGUUAUCCGGAUUCACUGGUGUGAAGGUGGGCAGGGAAGUCAGGGUAGAAAUCGCCGGGCUUAACCCGGAAACUGCCAUUGAUACUAUUUGUCUUGAAUACUCUUGAGGUGAGCGGAAUAUGUCAUGUAGCGGUGAAAUGCUUAGAUAUGACAUAGAACACCCAUUGCGAAGGCAGCUCACUACGGAAAUAUUGACGCUGAGGCACGAAAGCGUGGGGAUCAAACAGGAUUAGAUACCCCUGUAGUC
This 450-nucleotide ribosomal RNA is filed under the name uncultured bacterium. RNAcentral describes it as "partial 16S ribosomal RNA". It matches the Rfam family "Bacterial small subunit ribosomal RNA", at positions 338 to 795 of the family's 1533-position model. The record is from RNAcentral.